RNAcentral lists this long non-coding RNA (1151 nucleotides) under Lactuca sativa (garden lettuce). Its description in RNAcentral is "long non-coding RNA (LSAT_LNC003300)". The record is from RNAcentral. Lineage: Eukaryota; Viridiplantae; Streptophyta; Magnoliopsida; Asterales; Asteraceae.
UGAUUUCCCUCUUUUCGCUGUUCUUGCAUUUAGAUGAGUCUUUCUGGUUGUAUAAUCUGAGUUCUUGUAGCCUUGAUAAAAGUGCGUUAGAAGUAUCUCUUGGUUAAAAGCGUAAGUUUCUUGUCUAGUUGCUGUUCUCGUAAGAUUUUGUUUGAUUGUUUGUUAAGUUCUUAUUCAGUUGAGUUUUUGGUUGAUUUUGUUAAACAAAAGUUGUUAUUUGUUGAAAAUAUUUGGUUUAAAAAUACUAUAACUAUACCGUGGUAUGCAAACAAAAAAUUGGGAAGAAUGAAGCAUCACAAACCUUCAACCUCAAAGUCGAAGGAAGCCUCUGGAUCUCAAAACCCUAACCCUACACUUGGUCAGAUUGAUGACCACUCCGAGGUUUGAGUGGUGUUGAAGAAGGAAUUGCUUCGGUUUCCAUACAAGAACACUCUACUGCUACAGCUGCAGAAAUCGUCGAGGCACCUUCGAGUUCGAGUGUUAAUGGGGACGAUGAUUCUGCAGAAAGAUUUGGGAAUUUGGCAGAAACAGAGGCUGCUUCAGAUCAUUCAGUAAGAUCUCAACCCUUUUUUCCUUUUGUUCCUAUGUACUGAAUCCAAAAAAUACUCAACGAAAUGGAGCAUGGUAAGUAUAUACAAGGGUUUAUGGAAAUAUGUUGCAAAGACUUGAUGAGUAAUGUAGAUAAUUAUUACAUGAAACCAAGAAUAAUAUUAUUUGUACAUAAUUGGAGGGUCUUUUUAUAAGCUUGAAAUUUGUGGUUCAUGGCCUUGGUUAGUUGUUUGAAAGUGAAGAUUAAUAUUGAAUGGAUUCUGUUAAAGAUAAAAGGGAGGAGGAAAAGAAAAGUAAAUCUUGUUGGAAUUGAAUUUUAAUAACAAUUAAAAUGAAAAAAAAUAGGGAUGGAUGAUGGGAGUGUUGAGCUUGUAAUUGCUAUUAGCAUGUUUGAUUUGAUUUAUUACUUUUGAUGCAGGAAGAUGAAGAUGAUGACGACGCUUACAAUGUGUAUUGUAUACAAUCAGUCUUGAAUAUCAGCUUGUGAAACACACACUGAUAUUUCUAAAAAGUUUUCUUUGAUAUUCUGCAUUUAAUGCACGUAAGCAUCAUCUAUUAUCUAUUUCAUGAUUACACAAUGCAUCCCAUUGAUUGAUUUUGUG